Molecule: long non-coding RNA, 2721 nt
Organism: Anguilla rostrata (American eel)
Lineage: Eukaryota; Metazoa; Chordata; Actinopteri; Anguilliformes; Anguillidae
Exons: 3
Source: RefSeq, a predicted model, not a curated record
AUUUCCGCUCCGGAUCAAAUGAGUGCAAAGAAACUGUGACAACGGUUCCACUGCAGCAAGAGGAAGCAAUGUGGUAUUUUUACUGAUAUAUCCUACCCCGUUCUCAUGUUUCCACUGGGUUAGCUAAAUACGAAGUGGCAUUACAGGUUUGGGCACGCAGUUGUCUACGUAGCCCAGUGCUGCUAGGUUGUGUAAUUCACAUAGGUUACAUAGCCUACAGUAGGGUAUACAAUUUCGAAUCAAACCAAGAGUCUAACUGAAAUACUGUAUUUCGCUCAAGCAUAGACUAUUUGCCACCCGUAUUCUGUAUGGUUUUGGUUCUAUGGCAAACAUCUAAAUGUUUUCUCCUAGUGCAUUUAGCAUAAACAGGUUUAUAUCGGGCCCGGCCUAUCCGUUUAAUUAAGUUUGGCCGUGGGAAUAAUACAUGGCGUUCAAUUGUUCGAGUGCUGUUCGUUUUUUUCAUUCUGAACAUUUACGCAUUGAUAGCGUUUGAUUUCCAGUUUGAUGUUAACUUAGGCUACUUAAAUAUUUAAUUGUUUUCUUUGGUUAUGCAAAACGCACAGAUAGCCUGCACAUUGAGGGGAACUCCGUAUGAACAAUCUACGACAUUAGACAUAACUUAUUCUACGGGCCAAUUUUAGAAAAUGUUAAACGCAUUCGAACUGAAAACACAAAUAUUUAUUAGGCUUUUAUGAACGACCGUCUUUUCGAAGAUAUUGAUUUGUGUUGAAAUUGAAACAGUUUUAAGACUCGCUAGCGUUUGGAGGGUUUAUAACAGAGAUUUCUAUUGCGUAAAUCGACGUUACUUCUAACAGAGGGAAAUUGAAGUUGUUUUCUUUUUCCGAGUAUGGGCGCGUGGGCAGUCGGCAAUAGCAACCAGCAUGAUGGUGGGGCUAUUUCUAUCCUAUCCAGGCACGACUCGCUUGCGGGCUAACUGGAGGGCUGCAGUCUGCGGGGGUGGUGCUUUAUUACUAAGGUGUGUGAAUCAAGAAAAAAAACUGUUAAUCCUGGCUUACUUUGAUAUAAACUGUACAAACUAUUCGAGCAUAAUGUAAUAGGCUACACAAGACAGAGGCCAGCCAAGAUUUAAUCCUCAAUUCAUGUAUGACGAAUGGUAAUAUCUGUUGUAGGCUAAUAAAAGAAGCAGUAGUGUCUAAAUGCAUAGUUAUUUAAAAUGGAAGUUUUACUUGAAGAAAAUGGCUAUUCAUCUGAAUAAUUAUCUCGGUCACACACCAAAAAUUUUGAGAUGUUAUCUUUCUCAGCAUCACAGGUCCUCCUAGACAUGAUGUUCUUGUCCAGAAGUGGCAAAAUCCUUAUGCCCACACGAAAGUCAGGGAAGAGUGGCAGCUAGCAGCUAAUCAAAAUAACAAAUUCACUGUUACCCAUGUACAGUACCAUCAACAAUUAUUUACACAUGAUAAAAUGAAACAGACAAUACAGACAAUGUACUAUUUUGAACAUAUAAUGUUGUUUUUUAUUUUAUAAAAAGAUAUGUCUUUUAUUUUACAAAAAUAAAUGUGCAUUCACAUGAUAUUUCAUGUAAAUGUUAGGGAGCUCUAUUGUGGCCUACCAUGGCUUCCUGUUCCCAUGGGUAUAAAAAUAAGGUAACAUUAUAUCAAAUCCAUUCUUCACUAUCAUAGAGUGUACAGUAUAUAUUUAUGAGCACUAUGGAUGGUUAGGGUUCACAACAGUUACUUUUUUAGAAAUAAAUGUAUAAUUUCAGAAAAAUGUGAUUUUGGUUGAAUCCCAGGAAGUAGGAUGUUUUCCACAUGUUUGAGAAUUCAAAUAUUGCUCAAUAUUUGCAUGAUUUAUUAUAUAGUCUUUUUUGUUCCUUUUUAUCAGGAGUGUGAAUAACUUUGCUUCACCCCCAGCCUGUGGUUUUUAUGGCGUACGAACUACGGAUGAUUCCGGUUUUGUCCUUUUCAUAAUGAUUCCAACAGCAGCACCACAUGUGUGAAAUGGAGGAACAGCACUGAGGAGACAUAUUUAUGUAUGAUAGCACUACCAGUGGUCAGGAGUACAUGCCAAAUGAGCGUUCCUGUUGGCUACUCGAUAGAUGCACCACUGGUGUAAAUGGCACAGAAGGGCUCUGUGGGGUGCCACAUCCUCCCGCCCCUCUGAGUAAUUGCGCAAGGCGGCCGGAAAGGUUCCCACCCGUCCCCGGUGACAGCGCGGCUGAGCUUCCUCCGACCCCCUCCGGCAAAACGUGAGCUGUUGGCACGGUGCCACCGACCACGACGCACGCCAAUCAAUCUGUGUCAUCGCCAGAGAUCAGACCGCGUUAACAUCUCUGGGCAAGUUUCAGUUUCCUGUGGAAAGAUUACGACGUCUGUGCUUGUCAACAGCUGGUGUAGAACACAUGGUUUAGCUGAGACCUGAUGGAGAAAUGAAGGGAUGAGGCACACACCCAGCUGGACACCCUGGAUUUCCCAAUCUGCAUAGAGCUGGGACCUGGCAACAGACCUAUAAUGACCUGUUAAGAUAAACAACUGUCUGUUGGGUAGAUCAGUAAGGUAUGGUGGGUAAUAGUAAUCAUUUAAUUUUUAAUGCUUAACUUUAAUGUUUGUUUAAGCGGAAUUUGACAUUGUACUGAACUAUGAAUCUAAGUGCUUUUAAACAGUCCCACCCUGUAAUAGUGCUGUGCCAAUAAGUAUUUCAUUGUAUGUUAUGCUAAGGGUUGCCAAGGUACUGAAAUAAUAAUAUCAACAUUAAAACAUUACU